CCUACGGGAGGCUGCAGUGGGGAAUAUUGCACAAUGGGGGAAACCCUGAUGCAGCGACGCCGCGUGAAGGAAGAAGUAUUUCGGUAUGUAAACUCCUAUCAGUAGGGAAGAAAAUGACGGUACCUGACUAAGAAGCCCCGGCUAACUACGUGCCAGCAGCCGCGGUAAUACGUAGGGGGCAAGCGUUAUCCGGAUUUACUGGGGGUAAAGGGAGCGUAGGCGGUUUAGCAAGUCAGAAGUGAAAGCCUAGGGCUUAACUACGGGACUGCAUUUGAAACUGUUGAACUAGAUUGCAGGAGAGGUAAGUGGAAUUCUUGGUGUAGGGGUAAAAUGCGUAGAGAUUAAGAGGAACACUAGUUGCGAAGGCGACCUACUGGAACGUAAAUGACGCUGAGGCUCGAAAGCGUGGGGAGCAAACAGGAUUAGAUACCCCUGUAGUC
Molecule: ribosomal RNA, 440 nt
Filed under: uncultured bacterium
Lineage: Bacteria
Description: partial 16S ribosomal RNA
Rfam family: Bacterial small subunit ribosomal RNA
Source: RNAcentral